This 712-nucleotide long non-coding RNA is filed under the name Sinocyclocheilus grahami. Its description in RNAcentral is "lncRNA (ENSSGRG00000049503.1)". Lineage: Eukaryota; Metazoa; Chordata; Actinopteri; Cypriniformes; Cyprinidae. The record is from RNAcentral.
UAAAAAAAUAAGGAAGAAAUCACUCAAGCACCUCAUUUACUUGCUGACCCUAAAGUUGGUUUAUCCUCUAACUUUGACGUUUUGAAUCUUUACUUCGUUUUCCCCCACCUGAGCCCGCUUUCGAUUUCAAAAUGGCGGCCGCGUAAUUAGUAGCUUCAUGCAACAUUUUUAUUUAGGCUACUUUGUAACAGCACUUCCCUUACACCUGUCUCCCAGUGCUGGAUAUUGCGCAACAGCUGUGAAACACUGAUUACCACAUGUGAGGAAAACCGUUUACACUGUCCGUCCCUGGAUCACGAUGCUUCCAGACUUCCUGUUUUGGGGCCCGACUUACUGUGCAUGCUCAGAAGGAGAGAGCGGUUGAUGGUGAGGGAGGAAAUCUUGCUGAGAGAAAUAUGAGGUUUUCAGUCGAGGCAGUGAAGCACUUUGAGAUACGACAGAACCUCAAGCUGGCAACCUACAAAUGACCUCAAGUAUACACUUUUUAAAAUAAAGCUUCCAAUAGCGGUUUUUGCAGCGAUGGUGAAGAAGAUUUUGGAAUCCCCAAAGAAUCUUUCAGUGAACAAUUCUUGAAAGAACCAUUUUUUUAUAGUGUGAAAACCGUUUUAAUAAUCUAAGGAACCUUUUCCAUGAUAAGAACCCUUUAUCCAAAGAUUCCAGGUUAUUUGUGGAAUCACAGAUGCCAAUAAAGAAUGUAUAUUUUUAAGAGUAU